UACGUAGGGGGCAAGCGUUGUCCGGAAUCAUUGGGCGUAAAGCGCGUGUAGGCGGUUCGAUAAGUCUGCUGUGAAAGUCCAGGGCUCAACCCUGGGAUGCCGGUGGAUACUGUCGAGCUAGAGUACGGAAGAGGCGAGUGGAAUUCCCGGUGUAGCGGUGAAAUGCGCAGAUAUCGGGAGGAACACCAAUUGCGAAGGCAGCUCGCUGGGACGUCACUGACGCUAAGACGCGAAAGCGUGGGGAGCAAACAGG
Molecule: ribosomal RNA, 253 nt
Filed under: uncultured bacterium
Lineage: Bacteria
Description: partial 16S ribosomal RNA
Rfam family: Bacterial small subunit ribosomal RNA
Source: RNAcentral